Molecule: ribosomal RNA, 235 nt
Filed under: uncultured bacterium
Lineage: Bacteria
Description: partial 16S ribosomal RNA
Rfam family: Bacterial small subunit ribosomal RNA
Source: RNAcentral
UAGGUCCUACGGGGCGCAGCAGUGGGGAAUAUUGCACAAUGGGGGAAACCCUGAUGCAGCGACGCCGCGUGAGUGAAGAAGUAUUUCGGUAUGUAAAGCUCUAUCAGCAGGGAAGAUAAUGACGGUACCUGACUAAGAAGCCCCGGCUAACUACGUGCCAGCAGCCGCGGUAAUACGUAGGGGGCAAGCGUUAUCCGGAUUUAUUGGGCGUAAAGCGAGCGCAGGCGGUUGCUUA